This 1343-nucleotide ribosomal RNA is filed under the name uncultured bacterium. Its description in RNAcentral is "16S ribosomal RNA". It matches the Rfam family "Bacterial small subunit ribosomal RNA", at positions 28 to 1378 of the family's 1533-position model. The record is from RNAcentral.
GACGAACGCUGGCGGCGUGCUUAACACAUGCAAGUCGAACGGAAAGGCCCUGCUUUUGUGGGGUGCUCGAGUGGCGAACGGGUGAGUAACACGUGAGUAACCUGCCCUUGACUUUGGGAUAACUUCAGGAAACUGGGGCUAAUACCGGAUAGGAGCUCCUGCUGCAUGGUGGGGGUUGGAAAGUUUCGGCGGUUGGGGAUGGACUCGCGGCUUAUCAGCUCGUUGGUGGGGUAGUGGCUUACCAAGGCUUUGACGGGUAGCCGGCCUGAGAGGGUGACCGGCCACAUUGGGACUGAGAUACGGCCCAGACUCCUACGGGAGGCAGCAGUGGGGAAUAUUGCACAAUGGGCGGAAGCCUGAUGCAGCAACGCCGCGUGCGGGAUGACGGCCUUCGGGUUGUAAACCGCUUUCGCCUGUGACGAAGCGUGAGUGACGGUAAUGGGUAAAGAAGCACCGGCUAACUACGUGCCAGCAGCCGCGGUGAUACGUAGGGUGCGAGCGUUGUCCGGAUUUAUUGGGCGUAAAGGGCUCGUAGGUGGUUGAUCGCGUCGGAAGUGUAAUCUUGGGGCUUAACCCUGAGCGUGCUUUCGAUACGGGUUGACUUGAGGAAGGUAGGGGAGAAUGGAAUUCCUGGUGGAGCGGUGGAAUGCGCAGAUAUCAGGAGGAACACCAGUGGCGAAGGCGGUUCUCUGGGCCUUUCCUGACGCUGAGGAGCGAAAGCGUGGGGAGCGAACAGGCUUAGAUACCCUGGUAGUCCACGCUGUAAACGGUGGGUACUAGGUGUGGGGUCCAUUCCACGGGUUCCGUGCCGUAGCUAACGCUUUAAGUACCCCGCCUGGGGAGUACGGCCGCAAGGCUAAAACUCAAAGGAAUUGACGGGGCCCCGCACAAGCGGCGGAGCAUGCGGAUUAAUUCGAUGCAACGCGUAGAACCUUACCUGGGUUUGACAUGGAUCGGGAGUGCUCAGAGAUGGGUGUGCCUCUUUUGGGGUCGGUUCACAGGUGGUGCAUGGCUGUCGUCAGCUCGUGUCGUGAGAUGUUGGGUUAAGUCCCGCAACGAGCGCAACCCUUGUUCACUGUUGCCAGCACGUUAUGGUGGGGACUCAGUGGAGACCGCCGGGGUCAACUCGGAGGAAGGUGGGGAUGACGUCAAGUCAUCAUGCCCCUUAUGUCCAGGGCUUCACGCAUGCUACAAUGGCUGGUACAGAGAGUGGCGAGCCUGUGAGGGUGAGCGAAUCUCGGAAAGCCGGUCUCAGUUCGGAUUGGGGUCUGCAACUCGACCUCAUGAAGUCGGAGUCGCUAGUAAUCGCAGAUCAGCAACGCUGCGGUGAAUACGUUCCCGGG